RNAcentral lists this ribosomal RNA (254 nucleotides) under uncultured bacterium. RNAcentral describes it as "partial 16S ribosomal RNA". It matches the Rfam family "Bacterial small subunit ribosomal RNA", at positions 524 to 776 of the family's 1533-position model. The record is from RNAcentral.
UACGGGGGGAGCAAGCGUUGUUCGGAUUUACUGGGCGUAAAGGGCGCGUAGGCGGUCAGCACAAGUCGGUUGUGAAAUCUCCGGGCUUAACUCGGAAAGGUCAACUGAUACUGUGCGACUAGAGUGCAGAAGGGGCAACUGGAAUUCUUGGUGUAGCGGUGAAAUGCGUAGAUAUCAAGAGGAACACCUGUGGCGAAGGCGCCUUGCUGGCCGAUUUCUGACGCUGAGGCGCGAAAGCGUGGGGAGCAAACAGG